Molecule: long non-coding RNA, 336 nt
Filed under: Androctonus crassicauda
Lineage: Eukaryota; Metazoa; Arthropoda; Arachnida; Scorpiones; Buthidae
Source: RNAcentral
UAGUUCUGCUCGAUGUUCCGGGCUGCUCCGUGAUGUGUGUCGUCUCAUCACCUAUAAUUCGUGUUUUGCUUUCCAAGGGGGGUUUUGUUUGCAAAGGAGGGGCGUGCCCAUGGGUGGCCCUGUUGCCGGCCUUGUGGCGGAGCUUGUGGUCCGAUGUAGAGAAUCGACAGUCUUGGACUUGUUUUCGUCAGACUUUCGUCUGUGUGCUGGAUGCGUUGGCGAUAUAUGUGUGAUAUGGACCUCGGAGGACUGUACGGACGAUGUUGGUCAUGAGCUGAGUGAUCGAACUUUGGGCCUGUCCACUAGAAUAGAGCAAGUCUCUGCCCAUGGAUUCCA